UACGGAGGGUGCAAGCGUUGUCCGGAUUUAUUGGGUUUAAAGGGUGCGUAGGCGGUAAAUUAAGUCAGUGGUGAAAUCCAGCAACUUAACUGUUGAAUUGCCAUUGAUACUGAAUUACUUGAGUGAAAACGAGGUAUGCGGAAUUUAUGGUGUAGCGGUGAAAUGCAUAGAUACCAUAAAGAACACCGAUAGCGAAGGCAGCUUACUGGGCUGUAACUGACGCUGAGGCACGAAAGUGUGGGGAUCAAACAGGG
RNAcentral lists this ribosomal RNA (254 nucleotides) under uncultured bacterium. RNAcentral describes it as "partial 16S ribosomal RNA". It matches the Rfam family "Bacterial small subunit ribosomal RNA", at positions 524 to 777 of the family's 1533-position model. The record is from RNAcentral.